UGUGCUCAAGUAGACUAUCUGCUGAUUCCCCAACAAAGGGUAAAUGAAAUCUUCCCCGUUUGUUAAAAUAAGCACUCAUGUAAUUACUACCACCAAUAGAUGACAUCAUGUGGAACACUAUCUCGAACUUAUCAACAUUUACAAACCAAAAACCAAGCAACACUUGACCUACAGUUGCAAUCAUAAUUUUGUUCCUUGGUGGCCUUUACCUGUAAUGUGUGCAGAAGGUUACAGGUUGCUUCUGGGAAAUCAGGGCGAAGAACCAGCGCUUGCUUGUAGCUUUUUAUUGCAGCUUCAACAUGCCCACU
This 308-nucleotide long non-coding RNA is filed under the name Gossypium barbadense (sea-island cotton). RNAcentral describes it as "long non-coding RNA (GBAR_LNC019933)". The record is from RNAcentral. Lineage: Eukaryota; Viridiplantae; Streptophyta; Magnoliopsida; Malvales; Malvaceae.